AAUGGUUGCUUUUACUCUUAUCUUGGAUCUGUCCUGUAGUGUAGACUUCUGCAAACUGCAUUUUCGUAUGCUGUCUCUGCACUUGAGAAAAUGGAUACAUUUUUUUCUUAUUACUAUAUAAAAUAUUUACAUCUUUCCAUUUGCCCUCAUUAGGUAAGACAUUUGCCUUCUCGCUCUUAUCUUUUAUUUUACAUUUUUGUGAUACAAGCAAAGGCUAUUUGUCUACAUCAGGGUUUUAUGUUCAAACUGAAAAAGUUCAUCAUGUCCUCCUGUAUAAAUAACCUUGGGAGACAGUACUGAUAAUACGGAUACAAAGGUCUAGUUUUCUUUCCAGUUGUAUGGAAGCUGCACUGCUUUAUCACGUCAAUUAAUGUCAAGCUAAUUCAUUUUGAGUAAACACUGCACUCUGAACAGCCUCAGUGACCUGUCAGGGAACUGCUGCAUUGACUAAGCAAUGGACAGCUAUCAGAGAACCACACAAACCAGACACAGGACGGAUGCCAAAUGUGCAGAUAAGCACUAUUAGAUUUUUAUGUUUCUCUCAUAUUUGAAUUACAUCUCAACAUUUCCCGUAACUCCCUUUGCACACAUCACAAUGUGCAGCAAUCCAUACAGGCAAUGUAGGCCAUUUCUUGAGCAGAACAAUGGAACUAAAUAUAAGGCCUUACACAUUGUUUAGACAUGAUUUAGCUACUGUUUUGUAUAUCUAAAAAUAGCUGGACGCAAAUGAGACCGGAAGCUAGACCCAUGGAAUUUACAAAUCACGGCACCCAUUUUGACGUCAAGAAAAAGGUGGAUAGGAGGAUCCCCACCUACAAAAAGUCUCCUACCGUCAUGGCCCACCAGUGUCCUGACAUUUUAUCCUACCCGUCAGAUUUUCCUACCAGGGUUAACUGCGCAUGCGCACAUCAAAAUCCUUUUUCUCACAAAUCUCCACCACAAAUCAACCUAAAUCUGCAUGUGACUCAUCACUCUAAAUUAACAGUGAAGCUGUGGCUUUAAUUUUAACAACUCCACUGUGAGAAAGAUAAUGUAUCUCUUGAGCGAUUAAGUUAUUUAUAGUUUAUAAAAAUAUGCAGGGCAGUGCUAAAAAGCUCUGAUUUCAUGCAAAGCGUGAUCUGUGUGAUUGAAUUUUCUCAUUUUAAUAAAUGUAUAUUGUAAUGUACUCAUAUUAAUAUAUAUAUUAAAAAAAUAAUUGCAUCAUUGAUGGUAGGUUAUCAUUGCACAAAUGAAUGCACUCUCUAAUAUAAAAAAAUAAAAUGAAAAGAAGAGUUCUAAACUAAUGCACUGUCUUCUGUCAGACUGGGACAGUGACAUGUCAUCUGUCUAGCUGUAGUUGCAUCUCCUGCUCCAGGGAAGAAGAAAACUAGAUGCUGGUGACAGACUUGUGCAUUUCCGUAAGUCCUACACCAGUAUUGAAGGCCAUCUCAGCGGAGGGAGGGCCACCAGUCAUUCCUACUGGGAUCAGGAAGGAUUGAGGGCAGGAUCGACCACUUGCGUGGUCGUGGACAAGCUCCUCAUCCCUUGCAUUAGAACCAGCUCCUUGAGUGACUUUGACACUUUUAAAGUUCUGUACUACAAGAAAACCAUGGUGUCAAAAGCCAACAGUUUGAAGUUUUCUACAGUACUUUUGCAGUGUUUAUAUGGGUCAAAUGAUGGUGAUUUCUUCUUUUGUGUUGGUGUAAUUGUUACAUCUGUGUUGUUAAAAUAAAAUUUCAAACUGA
This is a long non-coding RNA of Carassius gibelio (silver crucian carp), 1724 nucleotides long. RefSeq lists it as uncharacterized. Lineage: Eukaryota; Metazoa; Chordata; Actinopteri; Cypriniformes; Cyprinidae. The record is from RefSeq and is a predicted model, not a curated record. The transcript is spliced from 3 exons.